UGCGAAGUCGCAAGACGAUGUAUAUGGACUGACGCCUGCCCGGUGCUGGAACGUUAAGAGGACCGGUUAACCCUUCGGGGUGAAGCUGAGAAUUUAAGCGCCAGUAAACGGCGGUGGUAACUAUAACCAUCCUAAGGUAGCGAAAUUCCUUGUCGGGUAAGUUCCGACCUGCACGAAUGGCGUAACGACUUUCCGGCUGUCUCAACCACAGGCCCGGCGAAAUUGCACUACGAGUAAAGAUGCUCGUUACGCGCGGCAGGACGGAAAGACCCCGGGACCUUUACUAUAGUUUGGUAUUGGUUUUCGGUUCGGCUUGUGUAGGAUAGGUGGGAGACUGUGAAGCUGGCACGCUAGUGUUGGUGGAGUCGUUGUUGAAAUACCACUCUGGUCGGAUUGGGAAUCUGAACCUCGGACCAUGAUCUGGUUCAGGGACAGUGCCUGAUGGGUAGUUUAACUGGGGCGGUUGCCUCCUAAAGAGUAACGGAGGCGCCCAAAGGUUCCCUCAGCCUGGUUGGCAAUCAGGUGUUGAGUGCAAGUGCACAAGGGAGCUUGACUGUGAGACAGACAUGUCGAGCAGGGACGAAAGUCGGGACUAGUGAUCCGGCACCACCUGGUGGAAGGGGUGUCGCUCAACGGAUAAAAGGUACCCCGGGGAUAACAGGCUGAUCUUGCCCAAGAGUCCAUAUCGACGGCAUGGUUUGGCACCUCGAUGUCGGCUCGUCGCAUCCUGGGGCCGGAGUAGGUCCCAAGGGUUGGGCUGUUCGCCCAUUAAAGCGGCACGCGAGCUGGGUUUAGAACGUCGUGAGACAGUUCGGUCCCUAUCCGCCGCGCGCGUAGGAUACUUGAGGAAGGCUGUCCCUAGUACGAGAGGACCGGGACGGACGAACCUCUGGUAUGCCAGUUGUCACGCCAGUGGCAUGGCUGG
This 925-nucleotide ribosomal RNA is filed under the name Amycolatopsis decaplanina DSM 44594. Its description in RNAcentral is "bacterial LSU rRNA". It matches the Rfam family "Bacterial large subunit ribosomal RNA", at positions 1824 to 2744 of the family's 2925-position model. The record is from RNAcentral. Lineage: Bacteria; Bacillati; Actinomycetota; Actinomycetes; Pseudonocardiales; Pseudonocardiaceae.